AAGUCGUAACAAGGUUUCCGUAGGUGAACCUGCGGAAGGAUCAUUAAUGAGUUAGGGUCUUCUAGGCCCGAUCUCCAACCCUUUGUAUAAUUACCAUGUUGCUUUGGCGGGCCCGUCUUUAAUCGGACCGCCGGGGUUUGUUAACCUCUGGCCAGCGCCUGUCAGUAGCCCACACAAAACUCUUCUAACCAUGUUAAAUCUGAAAAUAGUUAAAUAAACCAAAA
This 224-nucleotide unclassified non-coding RNA is filed under the name plant metagenome. RNAcentral describes it as "partial contains small subunit ribosomal RNA and internal transcribed spacer 1". The stretch from base 1 to 46 matches the Rfam family "Eukaryotic small subunit ribosomal RNA", at positions 1786 to 1831 of the family's 1831-position model. The record is from RNAcentral.